AUUCCCCGCCUAUUCUGCCAAAUGUAACACUUUUAGUACUCAAUGUAGUUACUCUUUCUGAGGAAAACAUUAAAUUGCAGGUUUGUUGAGGUUCAUUUUCUUAGCAUACUAGAAAGUACAGUAACUGUCAUGUUUAAUUGGAACAGGACCUUUAAAAGAACAGUUAGCACAAUUUUAGUAAAUGUUAUUUUUAAAAAUAACUGAAGUCAUUCAAUCUUACCCAUACUGUGCAAGAUAUUUCUGCUUACAGGAGGUUACAUAAAAAAUACUAUUGGGAGAGGUCAAAGGUCCGUGCUGCUCAAGCUUUUCAAUUUUACUUUUUUCAGCACAUUACUAAAGCCUCUAAAUAUUGAUUGACUUAAAAGGGUACUUCUGGAAAACACAUAAAAUGCAUUUUACCUAAGCCAUCCCUAGAGAAUAUUAUUUUUAUAAGCAUCUGCUUGAACAAAGAAGAUGCACCGGAAAACUGAUCACUUGCUCAUGAAUAAUAAUUUCAUAUUCUUGCAUGCGCAUAGGGGAUUCAUAUUAAUGAAUUACAUUUUCAUAAUAAUAAUUUGAAUUAAUUUGCGAUAUUUCAACAG
Long non-coding RNA from Spea bombifrons (plains spadefoot toad), 581 nucleotides. RefSeq lists it as uncharacterized. The record is from RefSeq and is a predicted model, not a curated record. The transcript is spliced from 2 exons. NCBI's taxonomy places the organism in Eukaryota, Metazoa, Chordata, Amphibia, Anura, Pelobatidae.